RNAcentral lists this unclassified non-coding RNA (871 nucleotides) under uncultured bacterium. RNAcentral describes it as "partial contains 16S ribosomal RNA, 16S-23S ribosomal RNA intergenic spacer". The stretch from base 1 to 248 matches the Rfam family "Bacterial small subunit ribosomal RNA", at positions 1288 to 1533 of the family's 1533-position model. The record is from RNAcentral.
UCAGUUCAGAUCGUAGGCUGCAACUCGCCUACGUGAAGCAGGAAUCGCUAGUAAUCGCAGGUCAGCAUACUGCGGUGAAUACGUUCCCGGGGCCUUGUACACACCGCCCGUCACACCAUGGAAGUUGGCCAUGCCCGAAGUCGUUACUCCACCCUGUGGGGAGGAGGACGCCGAAGGUGGGGCUAAUGACUGGGGUGAAGUCGUAACAAGGUAGCCGUACCGGAAGGUGCGGCUGGAUCACCUCCUAACAGGGAGACAACAAAAUGUUUAAUAUUAUUAUUUUGUCACCUUAGGUCGAUCGGUAUCUCACGUUCUUAAUUUAUUAAGAAUUUCAUUUCCUAAGUUUUUCUAGGUCACACCCAUUAUUUUUCCUGGGCCAUUAGCUCAGGUGGUUAGAGCGCACCCCUGAUAAGGGUGAGGUCCCUGGUUCAAGUCCAGGAUGGCCCAUAUCUCUAUGUUGGGGGUAUAGCUCAGUUGGUAGAGCGCCUGCUUUGCAAGCAGGAUGUCAGCGGUUCGAGUCCGCUUACCUCCACUGAUUACCACCUCUUCCAUAAUCUGUAGAAAGGAAAAUUUUUUGAUUUGUGACCAUAAUUCUGAGCGAAUCUAGCUUCCUAAUGAAAUCAUUAAGAUGCUGGACUCAUUGAUUAAUUUCAUUGUUUUCAGAGAACCUUGACAACUGCAUAGAUUAUUUUAAAGACAAUAAGCAUUUUUAAUGAUGCAGAUUUAUUAUUUGUGCGAAUGCAUUAAUAACAAUUCUAUUAAGCUGAUGCUUCAAUUAUGAAGUUAUUGGUCAAGCUACAAAGGGCUCACGGAGGAUACCUAGGCACACAGAGGCGAUGAAGGACGUGGUUACCUGCGAUAAGUCUCGGGA